This 89-nucleotide unclassified non-coding RNA is filed under the name Pseudomonas sp. NFACC45. Lineage: Bacteria; Pseudomonadati; Pseudomonadota; Gammaproteobacteria; Pseudomonadales; Pseudomonadaceae. The record is from RNAcentral.
UGUGGGAGCGGGCUUGCUCGCGAAAGCGGUGUGUCAGCUUCAGUGUUGUUGACUGAUACACCGCUUUCGCGAGCAAGCCCGCUCCCACG